UACAGAGGGUGCGAGCGUUAAUCGGAUUUACUGGGCGUAAAGCGUGCGUAGGCGGCUUUUUAAGUCGGAUGUGAAAUCCCUGAGCUUAACUUAGGAAUUGCAUUCGAUACUGGGAAGCUAGAGUAUGGGAGAGGAUGGUAGAAUUCCAGGUGUAGCGGUGAAAUGCGUAGAGAUCUGGAGGAAUACCGAUGGCGAAGGCAGCCAUCUGGCCUAAUACUGACGCUGAGGUACGAAAGCAUGGGGAGCAAAC
Molecule: ribosomal RNA, 250 nt
Filed under: uncultured bacterium
Lineage: Bacteria
Also listed under: 1 other name
Description: partial 16S ribosomal RNA
Rfam family: Bacterial small subunit ribosomal RNA
Source: RNAcentral